ACGCUGGCGGCGUGCUUAAUACAUGCAAGUCAACUUGACUUUAGAUAGCAAUAUCGAAAAGUAGGGUGGCGCACGGGUGCGUAACGCGUAGGUAAUCUGCCCUGAGGUCUGACAUAACCCGUCGAAAGGCGGGCUAACAUCAGAUGAUAUAUAAUCACGACAUCGUGGAAAUAUCAAAUCUUCGGAGCCCUUGGGAUGAGCCUGCGUCUGAUUAGGUAGUUGGCGGAGUAAUAGCCCACCAAGCCUACGAUCAGUAGCUGGUCUGAGAGGAUGAUCAGCCACACUGGAACUGAGACACGGUCCAGACUCCUACGGGAGGCAGCAGUAAGGAAUAUUGCUCAAUGGGGGAAACCCUGAAGCAGCAACGCCGCGUGAAGGAUGAAAUACUUUUGUAUGUAAACUUCUGUAAGAUGGGAAAAAUAUUCUCCUCGGGAGAAUUGAUUGCACCAUCAGAGUAAGCCCCGGCUAACUACGUG
This 476-nucleotide ribosomal RNA is filed under the name uncultured bacterium. Its description in RNAcentral is "bacterial SSU rRNA". It matches the Rfam family "Bacterial small subunit ribosomal RNA", at positions 33 to 507 of the family's 1533-position model. The record is from RNAcentral.